RNAcentral lists this ribosomal RNA (440 nucleotides) under Nematodirus oiratianus. RNAcentral's name for it is "eukaryotic LSU rRNA". It matches the Rfam family "Eukaryotic large subunit ribosomal RNA", at positions 2967 to 3400 of the family's 3401-position model. Lineage: Eukaryota; Metazoa; Nematoda; Chromadorea; Rhabditida; Molineidae. The record is from RNAcentral.
ACCGUCGUGAGACAGGUUAGUUUUACCCUACUGUUGACUUAUUGUUGCGAUAGUAAUCCUGCCUAGUACGAGAGGAACAGCAGGUUCAGACAUUUGGUUCAUGGACUUGACCGAUCGGUCAAUGGUCCGAAGCUAACAUCUGGGGGAUUAUGACUGAACGCCUCUAAGUCAGAAUCCCACCUAGUCAAGGCAACGAUAACUUUGUUUCCUGGUGUCGGGAGGCAAUUCUAUCUCGUGGCAACAUGAGAGCUUAUGCCCUAGUAAAUGACCUUGCCGGUAUGGAUAAUCCCUGCUGGUUGUCAAAGCCAGAUCACUCUGGUUCAAUGUCGGGGCGCAAAAUCACAUGUUUACGACAUGUAUACUGGUCAAGGUGUUGUAUUCAGUAGAGCAGUGUUUGUAUACUGCGAUCUGUUGAGACUAUCCUUUGAUAGGGUGUUUUG